ACUGCGUGUCAUGCGGAGGGUUUGUGCAAGCUCUCUGGGCGGCGACGCUAGCCACGGAGCUGGCCUCCCUCCCUUCCGUCAGCUGCAAUAUACUACAAGCACUGGGCUACAGCUGCAGCUAGCCCAUGGGUACCGUUCUGCGUCCUGUACUGCAUCUAGUUCGAAACGCCAUGUGAAAGGCAGGUACCGGGGACCAUGACAUCAAUGAGCUGGCUUUCACCUUGUCCAAGGCAGCAGCGGAACACUACGGGCGGGACCCUGGAUCACUGCACCGUGGAUGCCAUUCUGUACCCUGCACGGCACUGCGUGUGGCUUAAGUGGCCAAGCAGAGGGUCAUUGCAUGACUUUUAUGAGGCGCCGCUAGCCAUUGUUUCAAACCGCCCUGAAUCGUGGAUCAAGCCUUGCAAGAUGGAAGUUCUCUUUAGGCCCAGCGCCUCUUGUUGGAUCAAGUCUUGUACGCCAUUCCCUCGUGUCUUUCAUAUAGUAAAUUGUUGGUAUUUCUUUUAUGACAGUGCGCACUACCUGCCAACCACGUUUUACAGUCGAAACGCAGUGUACCGAGACUUCUUUUAUAUAGACCCCUUUCUUUGCAAACGCCACCAGGCGGUGCUCCAGUUUGUUUGACGUCUCAGCGAACUUCUGAUUCAAAACAAGAAUGAACAAAACCCACUUUGACACUGCUGCCUAAAAUGUCGAUAAAAUGUGUAACCACCAAUUCUCCAGAUGAGCGCCAAAAGAAUGAAGAAACGGGAGAUAUGUUAAAAUGUUUCGAAUAUUUUGUACGCCAACUUGCCUCCUCCAAGACAUUAAAUUGUACAGCCAAUUGCCCUCAUUAAAUC
Molecule: long non-coding RNA, 839 nt
Organism: Ixodes scapularis (black-legged tick)
Lineage: Eukaryota; Metazoa; Arthropoda; Arachnida; Ixodida; Ixodidae
Exons: 4
Source: RefSeq, a predicted model, not a curated record